GGGCCUUUAGCUCAGUUGGUUAGAGCGAUCCGCUCAUAACGGAUUGGUCGGGGGUUCAAGUCCCUCCGAGCCCACCA
Molecule: transfer RNA, 77 nt
Filed under: Kordiimonadaceae bacterium
Lineage: Bacteria; Pseudomonadati; Pseudomonadota; Alphaproteobacteria; Kordiimonadales; Kordiimonadaceae
Description: tRNA-Met
Rfam family: tRNA
About the family: Transfer RNA (tRNA) molecules are approximately 80 nucleotides in length. Their secondary structure includes four short double-helical elements and three loops (D, anti-codon, and T loops).
Source: RNAcentral